UGGGCUUGGGUUAAGGUGGGAUAUGAAAGGGGUAGAAAUGGUUUUUGGGUUCAGAGUCAAUGUAAUUAUUCUUUUCACUGUGUUUGUUCUAACAUAUCAUUUAAAUUUCUUUUUCUUUUUCAGAUCCGUUACUCAGUUCUUUUUGUUUUUGGUUUUAUACCCAACUGGUUGUUUCUAAUUCGGUGAGUGCUUUUCUUUGUUCCAUCAAAUUUAUCUUUUCUUUUCUCUUCCUUUUGUUUCUUUUUUUUAUGGUCAUUUUUUUCUCACUCACCUUACUUUCAGUUUCUUAUGGGGCUACCCCAAACUUAGAGUUGAACACAGCUUAAAAAACAUAACACUUUCUCUGAACAGGGUAAGGAAAUGUUUAGGCCGCGGGUUACAUUCAUGUGGUGAUAUAUACAAACAAAGGGAUACAAGCUCAAAUUGGGUGAACG
RNAcentral lists this long non-coding RNA (434 nucleotides) under Lathyrus oleraceus (garden pea). Its description in RNAcentral is "Pisum sativum (pea) long non-coding RNA (PSAT_LNC009998)". Lineage: Eukaryota; Viridiplantae; Streptophyta; Magnoliopsida; Fabales; Fabaceae. The record is from RNAcentral.